This 1330-nucleotide ribosomal RNA is filed under the name metagenome. RNAcentral's name for it is "SSU rRNA". It matches the Rfam family "Eukaryotic small subunit ribosomal RNA", at positions 1 to 1357 of the family's 1831-position model. The record is from RNAcentral.
UCUGGUUGAUCCUGCCAGUAGCAUAUGCUUGUCUCAAAGAUUAAGCCAUGCAUGUCUAAGUAUAAAUAGUAUACAGUGAAACUGCGAAUGGCUCAUUAAAACAGUUAUAGUUUAUUUGAUAGUGGAAGCCUACAUGGAUAACCGUAGUAAUUCUAGAGCUAAUACAUGCGUCCAAACCUGACUGAAUUGAAAGGUUGUAUUUAUUAGAUACGAAGCCAAUACCCUCUCGGGGGUGUUGUGGUGAGUCAUAGUAACUGAUCGAAUCUCUCACCUGAGAGAUAAAUCAUUCAAGUUUCUGCUCUAUCAGCUUUCGAUGGUAGUGUAUUGGACUACCAUGGCAGUCACGGGUAACGGAGAAUUAGGGUUCGAUUCCGGAGAGGGAGCCUGAGAAACGGCUACCACAUCUAAGGAAGGCAGCAGGCGCGUAAAUUACCCAAUCCUGACUCAGGGAGGUAGUGACAAGAAAUAACAACCCGGGGGAUUCACAUCCUUACGGGAUUGCAAUGAGAACAAUUUAAAUCACUUAACGAGGAUCAAUUGGAGGGCAAGUCUGGUGCCAGCAGCCGCGGUAAUUCCAGCUCCAAUAGUGUAUAUUAAAGUUGUUGCAGUUAAAAAGCUCGUAGUUGAACUUCUGACAGUGUGCAGUUUUGGUUUCUAUCAGGCUGCAUUGCUGUCAUCCGUCUGCAAACUCUGUUCAAUCUUCGCUGGUUGGCAGGGGGAGUAGACAUUUUACUUUGAAAAAAUUAGGGUGUUUCAAGCAGGUUAUUGCCAGAAUACUUUAGCAUGGAAUAAUGGAAUAGGACUCUUGUCCAUUUGGUUGGUUAUUGGACCAGAGUAAUGAUUAACAGGGACAGUUGGGGGCAUUAGUAUUUAAUUGUCAGAGGUGAAAUUCAUGGAUUUAUUAAAGACUAACUUAUGCGAAAGCAUUUGCCAAGGAUGUUUUCAUUAAUCAAGAACGAAAGUUAGGGGAUCAAAGACGAUCAGAUACCGUCCUAGUCUUAACUAUAAACGAUGUCGACUCGGGAUUGGAAAGGUUUCCAAUUAUCCUUUCCAGCACCGUAUGAGAAAUCAUUAAGUCUUUGGAUUCUGGGGGGAGUAUGGUCGCAAGGCUGAAACUUAAAGGAAUUGACGGAAGAGCACCACCAGGCGUGGGACCUGCGGCUUAAUUUGACCCAACACGGGAAAACUUAUUUCAGCAAAACAUGAGUGGGAUUGACAGAUUGAGAGCUCUUUCUUGAUUUUAUGGGGUGUGGUGCAUGGCCGUUCUUAGUUGGUGGAGUGAUUUGUCUGGUUAAUUCCGUUAACGAACGAGACCUUAACCUGCUAACUA